Molecule: ribosomal RNA, 798 nt
Filed under: uncultured bacterium
Lineage: Bacteria
Description: bacterial SSU rRNA
Rfam family: Bacterial small subunit ribosomal RNA
Source: RNAcentral
CAGUCGAGGGGCAGCGGGGAGGAAGCUUGCUUUCUCCGCCGGCGACCGGCGCACGGGUGAGUAACACGUAUGCAACCUGCCCCUGUCAGGGGGACAACCCGCCGAAAGGCGGGCUAAACCCGCGUACAUGCCACCGGGGCAUCCCGGAGGCAGGAAAGGCUUCGGCCGGACAGGGAUGGGCAUGCGGCGCAUUAGGCAGUAGGCGGGGUAACGGCCCACCUAACCGACGAUGCGUAGGGGUUCUGAGAGGAAGGUCCCCCACACUGGUACUGAGACACGGACCAGACUCCUACGGGAGGCAGCAGUGAGGAAUAUUGGUCAAUGGUCGGGAGACUGAACCAGCCAAGCCGCGUGAGGGAGGAAGGUACAGAGUAUCGUAAACCUCUUUUGUCAGGGAACAAAGGCGGGGACGUGUCCCCGGAUGAGUGUACCUGAAGAAAAAGCAUCGGCUAACUCCGUGCCAGCAGCCGCGGUAAUACGGAGGAUGCGAGCGUUAUCCGGAUUUAUUGGGUUUAAAGGGUGCGCAGGCGGUCUGUUAAGUCAGCGGUCAAAGCCCGGGGCUCAACCCCGGCCCGCCGUUGAAACUGGCAGUCUCGAGUUGGAGAGAAGUAUGCGGAAUGCGCGGUGUAGCGGUGAAAUGCAUAGAUAUCGCGCAGAACUCCGAUUGCGAAGGCAGCAUGCCGGCUCCACACUGACGCUGAGGCACGAAAGCGUGGGUAUCGAACAGGAUUAGAUACCCUGGUAGUCCACGCAGUAAACGAUGAAUGCUGGCUGUCCGGGGGGAUUGACCCCUGGGUG